GAUGAACGCUGGCGGCGUGCCUAAUACAUGCAAGUCGAGCGGACAGACGAGGAGCUUGCUCCUCUGACGUUAGCGGCGGACGGGUGAGUAACACGUGGAUAACCUACCUAUAAGACUGGGAUAACUUCGGGAAACCGUAGCUAAUACCGGAUAACAUGUUGAACCGCAUGGUUCAACAGUGAAGAACGGUUUUGCUGUAACUUCUCGAUGGAUCCCCGUCGCAUUAGCUAGUUGGUAAGGUAACGGCUUACCAAGGCAACGAUGCGUAGGCGACCUGAGAGGGGGAUAGGCCACACUGGAAGGGAGACACGGUCCAGACGCCUACGGGAGGCAGCAGAAGGGAAUCUGCCGCAAUGGGCGAAAGCCUGACGGAGCAACGCAGCGUGAGUGAAGAAGGUGUUCGGAUCGUAAAACUCUGUUAUUAGGGAAGAACAAAUGUGUAAGUAACUAUGCACGUCUUGACGGUACCUAAACAGAAAGCCACGGCUAACUACGUG
RNAcentral lists this ribosomal RNA (497 nucleotides) under uncultured bacterium. RNAcentral's name for it is "partial 16S ribosomal RNA". It matches the Rfam family "Bacterial small subunit ribosomal RNA", at positions 28 to 507 of the family's 1533-position model. The record is from RNAcentral.